RNAcentral lists this ribosomal RNA (200 nucleotides) under uncultured bacterium. RNAcentral's name for it is "partial 16S ribosomal RNA". It matches the Rfam family "Bacterial small subunit ribosomal RNA", at positions 131 to 334 of the family's 1533-position model. The record is from RNAcentral.
CGAUGGAGGGGGAUAACUACUGGAAACGGUAGCUAAUACCGCAUAACGUCGCAAGACCAAAGAGGGGGACCUUCGGGCCUCUUGCCAUCGGAUGUGCCCAGAUGGGAUUAGCUAGUAGGUGGGGUAAAGGCUCACCUAGGCGACGAUCCCUAGCUGGUCUGAGAGGAUGACCAGCCACACUGGAAUGAGACACGGUCCAG